CACGGGGGGAGCAAGCGUUGUUCGGAAUCACUGGGCGUAAAGGGCGUGUAGGCGGUCAAGUAAGUGGAAUGUGAAAGCCCCCGGCUCACCCGGGGAUCUGCAUCCCAAACUGCUUGGCUUGAGUACGGGAGAGGAUAGGGGAAUUCCUGGUGUAGCGGUGAAAUGCGUAGAUAUCAGGAGGAACACCGGUGGCGAAGGCGCCUAUCUGGCCCGAUACUGACGCUGAGGCGCGAAAGCUAGGGGAGCAAACGGG
RNAcentral lists this ribosomal RNA (253 nucleotides) under uncultured bacterium. RNAcentral describes it as "partial 16S ribosomal RNA". It matches the Rfam family "Bacterial small subunit ribosomal RNA", at positions 524 to 776 of the family's 1533-position model. RNAcentral also lists the same sequence under 1 other name. The record is from RNAcentral.